Molecule: microRNA precursor, 100 nt
Organism: Caenorhabditis elegans
Lineage: Eukaryota; Metazoa; Nematoda; Chromadorea; Rhabditida; Rhabditidae
Source: Ensembl
GUCCGAAAAGUCCGUCUACCCGUAGCUCCUAUCCAUGUUACUGGUCAAAAAGUGAACAUGGAAGCAGGUACAGGUGCACGGCGAGUAGGGUCAUGAAGCU